RNAcentral lists this ribosomal RNA (698 nucleotides) under Penicillium sp. RNAcentral's name for it is "partial large subunit ribosomal RNA". It matches the Rfam family "Eukaryotic large subunit ribosomal RNA", at positions 76 to 792 of the family's 3401-position model. Lineage: Eukaryota; Fungi; Ascomycota; Eurotiomycetes; Eurotiales; Aspergillaceae. The record is from RNAcentral.
UGCCUCAGUAACGGCGAGUGAAGCGGCAAGAGCUCAAAUUUGAAAGCUGGCUCCUUCGGGGUCCGCAUUGUAAUUUGCAGAGGAUGUUUCGGAAGCAGCCCCCAUCUAAGUGUCCUGGAACGGACCGUCAUAGAGGGUGAGAAUCCCGUAUGGGAUGGGGUGUCUGCGUCCAUGUGAAACUCCUUCGACGAGUCGAGUUGUUUGGGAAUGCAGCUCUAAAUGGGUGGUAAAUUUCAUCUAAAGCUAAAUAUUGGCCGGAGACCGAUAGCGCACAAGUAGAGUGAUCGAAAGAUGAAAAGCACUUUGAAAAGAGAGUUAAAAAGCACGUGAAAUUGUUGAAAGGGAAGCGCUUGCGAUCAGACUCGCCUUGGGGGUUCAGCCGGCAUUCGUGCCGGUGUACUUCCCCCAGGGCGGGCCAGCGUCGGUUUGGGUGGCUGGUCAAAGGCCCUUGGAAUGUAACGCCUCUCGGGGCGUCUUAUAGCCAAGGGUGCCAUGCAGCCUACCUGGACCGAGGAACGCGCUUCGGCUCGGACGCUGGCAUAAUGGUCGUAAGCGACCCGUCUUGAAACACGGACCAAGGAGUCUAACAUCUACGCGAGUGUUCGGGUGUCAAACCCGUGCGCGCAGUGAAAGCGAACGGAGGUGGGAACCCUUACGGGUGCACCAUCGACCGAUCCUGAUGUCUUCGGAUGGAUUUG